This 200-nucleotide ribosomal RNA is filed under the name uncultured bacterium. Its description in RNAcentral is "partial 16S ribosomal RNA". It matches the Rfam family "Bacterial small subunit ribosomal RNA", at positions 8 to 200 of the family's 1533-position model. The record is from RNAcentral.
AGAGUUUGAUCCUGGCUCAGGACGAACGCUGGCGGCGUGCCUAAUACAUGCAAGUCGAGCGGAUCUUCAAGGGAGCUUGCUCCUGAGAAGAUUAGCGGCGGACGGGUGAGUAACACGUAGGCAACCUGCCCACAAGAUCGGGAUAACAUUCGGAAACGGAUGCUAAGACCGGAUAUGCAAGUUUGUCGCAUGACGAGCUU